GCCCGGUUAGCUCAGUCGGUAGAGCAUUCGGCUUUUACGCAACCCCAAAUUCGAUCGACAGACGUUCCCCCAGGAUGGCUCGAACUCGGGGUCAUGUGUCACCGAAAUGUCGGGGGUUCGAGCCCCCCAUUGGGCG
Transfer RNA from Puccinia sorghi, 136 nucleotides. It matches the Rfam family "tRNA". Rfam says of the family: Transfer RNA (tRNA) molecules are approximately 80 nucleotides in length. Their secondary structure includes four short double-helical elements and three loops (D, anti-codon, and T loops). NCBI's taxonomy places the organism in Eukaryota, Fungi, Basidiomycota, Pucciniomycetes, Pucciniales, Pucciniaceae. The record is from Rfam.